This 31-nucleotide small RNA is filed under the name Caenorhabditis elegans. RNAcentral's name for it is "Unclassified non-coding RNA Y39D8C.2". Lineage: Eukaryota; Metazoa; Nematoda; Chromadorea; Rhabditida; Rhabditidae. The record is from RNAcentral.
UCCAGCCGUAUAAAAGGAAGGAGAGGGUAAG